RNAcentral lists this ribosomal RNA (883 nucleotides) under uncultured bacterium. Its description in RNAcentral is "bacterial SSU rRNA". It matches the Rfam family "Bacterial small subunit ribosomal RNA", at positions 8 to 940 of the family's 1533-position model. The record is from RNAcentral.
AGAGUUUGAUCAUGGCUCAAAACGUACGCUGGCGGCACGCCUAACACAUGCAAGUCGAACGAAGUAGCAAUACUUAGUGGCGAACGGGUGAGUAUAAUGUGGGUAUCUGCCUUUUGGUUUGGAAUAACACGGGGAAACUUGUGCUAAUACCGGAUAAGCCUUCACAGGGAAAGUUUUAACGCCAAAAGAUGAGCCCGCACUUGAUUAGCUAGUUGGUAAGGUAAUGGCUUACCAAGGCUACGAUCAAUAGCUGAUCUGAGAGGAUGAUCAGCCACAUUGGGACUGAGACACGGCCCAAACUCCUACGGGAGGCAGCAGUGGGGAAUCUUGCACAAUGGGGGAAACCCUGAUGCAGCGAUGCCGCGUGAGUGAAGAAGGCCUUUGGGUUGUAAAGCUCUUUCGUCGGGGAAGAAAAUGACUGUACCCGAAUAAGAAGGUCCGGCUAACUUCGUGCCAGCAGCCGCGGUAAUACGAAGGGACCUAGCGUAGUUCGGAAUUACUGGGCUUAAAGAGCUCGUAGGUGGUUAGAAAAGUUGGUGGUGAAAUCCCAAGGCUUAACCUUGGAACUGCCAUCAAAACUUUUUAACUAGAGUAUGAUAGAGGAAAGUGGAAUUUCUAGUGUAGAGGUGAAAUUCGUAGAUAUUAGAAAGAACACCAAUUGCGAAGGCAACUUUCUGGAUCAUUACUGACACUGAGGAGCGAAAGCAUGGGUAGCGAAGAGGAUUAGAUACCCUCGUAGUCCAUGCUGUAACGAUGUGUGCUAGACGUUGGAAAUUUAAUUUUCAGUGUCGCAGCAAAAGCGUUAAGCACACCGCCUGGGGAGUACGACCGCAAGGUUAAAACUCAAAUGAAUUGACGGGGACCCGCACAAGUAGUGGAGCAU